RNAcentral lists this ribosomal RNA (17 nucleotides) under Saccharomyces cerevisiae (brewer's yeast). RNAcentral describes it as "partial 18S ribosomal RNA". The record is from RNAcentral. Lineage: Eukaryota; Fungi; Ascomycota; Saccharomycetes; Saccharomycetales; Saccharomycetaceae.
CGUGGGAGGGUCACUGC